UGGGGAAUAUUGGGGCAAUGGGCGCAAGCCUGACCCAGCAACGCCGCGUGAAGGAAGAAGGCUUUCGGGUUGUAAACUUCUUUUCUCAGGGACGAAGCAAGUGACGGUACCUGAGGAAUAAGCCACGGCUAACUACGUGCCAGCAGCCGCGGUAAUACGUAGGUGGCAAGCGUUAUCCGGAUUUACUGGGUGUAAAGGGCGUGUAGGCGGGACUGCAAGUCAGAUGUGAAAACCAUGGGCUCAACCUGUGGCCUGCAUUUGAAACUGUAGUUCUUGAGUACUGGAGAGGCAGACGGAAUUCCUAGUGUAGCGGUGAAAUGCGUAGAUAUUAGGAGGAACACCAGUGGCGAAGGCGGUCUGCUGGACAGCAACUGACGCUGAGGCGCGAAAGCGUGGGGAGGCAAACAGGAUUAGAUACCC
RNAcentral lists this ribosomal RNA (420 nucleotides) under uncultured bacterium. RNAcentral describes it as "bacterial SSU rRNA". It matches the Rfam family "Bacterial small subunit ribosomal RNA", at positions 355 to 787 of the family's 1533-position model. The record is from RNAcentral.